UCGUUAAUUCCUAUACGUAGUUUUACGAUACUGAAGCCCUGACGGUCUGGCCACCGUGGGGCUUCGCU
This 68-nucleotide non-coding RNA is filed under the name Escherichia phage TL-2011b. The record is from RNAcentral. Lineage: Duplodnaviria; Heunggongvirae; Uroviricota; Caudoviricetes.